CAAUCAAAAUAUCUCGCAAAUCGCGAUUUUGAUGAAAAUUAACUGUCAUUUCCUUCCCGUUGGAGAUAUUUCGACGUUUAAGCGCUGGUUGAACUCCAUUUCACAGUGCAAAUGCAACGCACUACCGUUUAAGCGUCGAAACAAGCAAAAUAGCUAGCAAAUCGCGAAGACUUCGUCGAUUUUGACGAAAACUAACCGUCAUUUCUUUCCGGCUGGGGAUAUUUCGACGUUUAAGCGCUCGUUGAACUCCAUUUCACAGUGCAAAUGCAAUUGUCACGUCCCGCGCUCCGCACGCGCCGUAACAAGAACAAGAAAACCAUUCUAUACAAAACGCGCAAGUAAGGAUUUGAAUGCACAAACGAACACACGGCGCUACAAAACUAAAGGAAGGAUUAACAAAGCGAGGGCGACUAAUAAAUCCAAUCAGUAUGAAAUAAAAUAAAUAAAACCAGCUAACGGAUUGAACGAGUUACGAACCAAACAAAUAAACCAGGAAAUAAGAAUAACUACAAAAGGGGAAAUAAUGGAAACCCCAGAAAUACAAGUAUAUAUAUAUAUUUUAAUCAAUCAACUUUGAGAGUUACAUAUAAGUAUAAACAUAUAUGCUAGGCAUGUAAUAAAGUAGUAAAUAUUAGAGUUAGUGCUUAUAAUACUAUGCAACAAAUACAAUAUUAUCAAUUUAUGAAAUAUAAGUAUAUACAAAGUUAAAAACUAAUAGUCUAACGAAUACAUAAAACAUACAAUAUUGUAUUAUUAAAGAAAUAAAAGUUACACUGUCAGAAACAUAUAUAUAUGUGUGCGCAUUCUAUUAAACAGAUACAUACUUAAAAUUAGCCUACGUUCCGGUAAAGAAUUAUAAAAUAAGAACUACAUUACGAAACAUGCAUGUCUAUAUAUAAAUAUAUAAAUUAUAUUCUAAACUAAACUACUAUUAAUGUAUGCUCUUUCUACAUUAUUGAUUCAAAUCGAUAAUCUAAGAUACAUACUUAAAACUAGCCUACGUUCCGGUAAAGAGUUAUAAAAUAAGAACUACGCUACGAAACAUGCAUGUCUCUAUACAAACAUAUAAAAAUCUAUAUUCUAAACUACUACUAAUCUAUGUGCAUUCUACAAUCUAAAAUACAUACCUAAAACUAGCCUACAUGCCGGUAAAGCAUUAUAAAAUAAGAACUACAUUAUGAAACAUGCAUGUCUCUAUAUAAACACAUAAAUAAUCUAUUUUCUAAACUAAAACUACUAUUAAUAAUCUACAAAAGAAAUAGAACACACAACGCAACACUUGGGACUAAGCGACAACCUGUCGAUAGCCCAAACGCUCAAAAUAAUUAAGACCGCAACGACUUGAGGAAUUGCAUACAGAAAUUCUAUCAUCAAGCACAAAUAUGUAAACAUACAUUAAACGCACAAUAAUCUAGAAACAAAACCUUCAAUACUAUGUUGUCACAAUACAAGAUAUAUAUGUAUAUAUGAAAUCAAAUGAUUGACACAUAACCUCAAAUACACAACACUAUAUCACUAAAGAAUCUAAAUGAAAAUCACUUUGCCAGAAAUAUAUACAUAUAUACGUGUGCGUGUGCGUGUUCUAUCUUAUUAAAAGAAAUUAAUAUAAAAUAAAUAAUUAACAUUUCAUUUCGUAUGAACACUAUAUGGGCAAGAGAAAUAUGCAUAUAAAUACGUAUAUAUAUAUAUAUAUAUAUAUAUAUAUAUAUAUAUAUAUAUAUAUAUAUAUAUAUAUGUGUGUGUGUGUGAGUGCAUAUGUUUUAUAUUAUCGAAUACUCUAUAAAAUAAACUACUCGAAACAAUAAAUAACGCAAUCGAAGAAUCACAAAACAUUAGCCAUACUGAAGUGACACACAACAUAAACAUAUAUAUAUAUAUACGUAUAUUCACACGAGCUAUACUAUUGUCACUUUAAAACAAUAUUAAUAAAUAAAUGUUCUAAUUGCGGUAGAAUAAGGAAAAACGAGCGACAGACGAAAAAUUACUUCGAUAUCAAACAAAACUAAAGACCCGUCACUAAAAACUUUACUGAUGACAUUUAUGAGCAGCCAUGUUGGAUUUACACGCGUCAUGGCGACAGGAAUAUUAGGGAUUAAUGGAAGUCAGGCGCGAGAAACAAAUCAUGAAAACACAUUGUUAACACUUUUCUUUAAUAAAUUCUAUGCGCAACUACAAAUAUAAAAA
This is a long non-coding RNA of Bombus huntii, 2184 nucleotides long. RefSeq lists it as uncharacterized. Lineage: Eukaryota; Metazoa; Arthropoda; Insecta; Hymenoptera; Apidae. The record is from RefSeq and is a predicted model, not a curated record. The transcript has 2 exons.